RNAcentral lists this ribosomal RNA (253 nucleotides) under uncultured prokaryote. RNAcentral describes it as "partial 16S ribosomal RNA". It matches the Rfam family "Bacterial small subunit ribosomal RNA", at positions 524 to 776 of the family's 1533-position model. The record is from RNAcentral.
UACAGAGGUGCCGAGCGUUAGGCGGAAUCACUGGGCUUAAAGCGUGUGUAGGCGGAUGCCUAAGUACCUUGUGAAAUCCCACGGCUUAACCGUGGAACUGCUCGGUAUACUGGGUGUCUUGAGCCACUUAGGGGUUACCGGAACAAAUGGUGGAGCGGUGAAAUGCGUAGAUAUCGGGAGGAACACCUGUGGCGAAAGCGGCGAGCUGGACCACUACUGACGCUGAAGAACGAAAGCUAGGGGAGCAAACAGG